CUUGACAUUGGGUCUUGGUACUACAUGUACAGAUAGGUGGGAGGCUUUGAAGCCAGGACGACAGUUUUGGCGGAGCCAUCCUUGGGAUACCACCCUUGUAGUACUGGGACUCUAACCAUAGGCCAUGAAGCUGGUCUUGGGACACUGUCAGGUGGGCAGUUUGACUGGGGCGGUCGCCCCCCAAAAGGUAACGGAGGCGCUCAAAGGUUCUCUCAGUACGGUCGGAAAUCGUACGUAGAGUGUAAAGGCAAAAGAGAGCU
This 260-nucleotide ribosomal RNA is filed under the name Clostridioides difficile. RNAcentral's name for it is "partial 23S ribosomal RNA". It matches the Rfam family "Bacterial large subunit ribosomal RNA", at positions 2110 to 2369 of the family's 2925-position model. The record is from RNAcentral. Lineage: Bacteria; Bacillati; Bacillota; Clostridia; Peptostreptococcales; Peptostreptococcaceae.